This 354-nucleotide ribosomal RNA is filed under the name Hippoglossus stenolepis (Pacific halibut). RNAcentral's name for it is "partial 12S ribosomal RNA". It matches the Rfam family "Bacterial small subunit ribosomal RNA", at positions 875 to 1360 of the family's 1533-position model. The record is from RNAcentral. Lineage: Eukaryota; Metazoa; Chordata; Actinopteri; Pleuronectiformes; Pleuronectidae.
AAACAUCGAUUGCACUAUACACUCCAUAUCCGCCCGGGAAUUAUGAACAUCAGUUUAAAACCCAAAGGACUUGGCGGUGCUUAACAUCCACCUAGAGGAGCCUGUUCUAGAACCGAUAACCCCCGUUAAACCUCACCUUCUCUUGUUUUAUCCGCCUAUAUACCACCGUCGUCAGCUUACCCUGUGAAGGCUUUACAGUAAGCAAAAUUGGCACAGCCCAAAACGUCAGGUCGAGGUGUAGUGAAUGAGGAGGGAAGAAAUGGGCUACAUUUGCUAAACAUAGCAAACACGAAUGUUGCAUUGAAACAUGUAACUGAAGGAGGAUUUAGCAGUAAGCAGGAAAUAGAGCGUCCC